AUUGAACGCUGGCGGAAUGCUUUACACAUGCAAGUCGAGCGGCAGCGCGGGGCAACCUGGCGGCGAGCGGCGAACGGGUGAGUAACAUAUCGGAACGUACCCUGUCGUGGGGGAUAACACAGCGAAAGUUGUGCUAAUACCGCAUACGACCUGAGGGUGAAAGCGGGGGACCGUAAGGCCUCGCGCGAUAGGAGCGGCCGAUAUCGGAUUAGCUAGUUGGUGAGGUAAAGGCUCACCAAGGCGACGAUCCGUAGCUGGUCUGAGAGGACGACCAGCCACACUGGAACUGAGACACGGUCCAGACUCCUACGGGAGGCAGCAGUGGGGAAUUUGGACAAUGGGGGGCAACCCUGAUCCAGCCAUUCCGCGUGAGUGAAGAAGGCC
RNAcentral lists this ribosomal RNA (384 nucleotides) under uncultured bacterium. Its description in RNAcentral is "bacterial SSU rRNA". It matches the Rfam family "Bacterial small subunit ribosomal RNA", at positions 29 to 416 of the family's 1533-position model. The record is from RNAcentral.